Molecule: ribosomal RNA, 638 nt
Filed under: Descolea antarctica
Lineage: Eukaryota; Fungi; Basidiomycota; Agaricomycetes; Agaricales; Bolbitiaceae
Description: eukaryotic LSU rRNA
Rfam family: 5.8S ribosomal RNA (bases 228-381)
Source: RNAcentral
GGGUUGUAGCUGCCUCUCUCGGGAGCAUGUGCACGCUUGUCACCUUUAUCUUUCCACCUGUGCACCCUUUGUAGACUUGGAAUUUAAACUAUCUGAAGGUUUUUAAAACCUUCAGUUUGAGGGAUUGCUCGGUCGGCUUCCCUUGUGGUUCCAAGCCUAUGUUUUUCAUAUACCCCAUAGUAUGUUUCAGAAUGUAUUCAAAGGCCUCAGAGCCUAUAACUUUAUACAACUUUCAGCAACGGAUCUCUUGGCUCUCGCAUCGAUGAAGAACGCAGCGAAAUGCGAUAAGUAAUGUGAAUUGCAGAAUUCAGUGAAUCAUCGAAUCUUUGAACGCACCUUGCGCUCCUUGGUAUUCAGAGGAGCAUGCCUGUUUGAGUGUCAUUAAAUUCUCAACCUUAUCAUCUUCGAUGGCAAGGCUUGGACUUGGGGGUUUUUGCAGGCUUCAAACUUUUUUGAAGUCGGCUCCCCUUAAAUGAAUUAGCCGGAAAACCCUUGUGGACCGUCUAUUGGUGUGAUAAUUAUCUACGCCGCCGGACAGGACUGCACUUUUUAAUGGGAUUUCUGCUUCCAAUCGUCCUUAGGGGACAAUCAUUUGACUAUUUGGCCUCAAAUCAGGUAGGACUACCCGCUGAACUUAA